RNAcentral lists this unclassified non-coding RNA (510 nucleotides) under Hevea brasiliensis (rubber tree). Lineage: Eukaryota; Viridiplantae; Streptophyta; Magnoliopsida; Malpighiales; Euphorbiaceae. The record is from RNAcentral.
AGGAAACAAAGAACUGAGGUAUUGAUGCUUCAUUCUAUAUAUGUGGAUAAUUCCAAUUCCAUCUUGCUGCUUAUUCAAGGUUGGGAAUUCAAAAUUUCUACUUUGCUUAGGAUAAGCAUCUUUCAUCUUUUCUUUCAUUUGCCCUUAAUGAUUUCAUGUCCCAACAAUUAAACAAAAGUUUGGCUCUAAACAAAAUAGAGUGGAGAGAAAGAAUCCAUGUAGAUGACUCCCUGUGUUUUGAGACUGAAGCUGUACUUGAAUUGAGUUACUAUCUCCUUUCUUUUAUGUUAAAAAAAUAAAAAAACCUAAUGUUUGGUGCUUCAUUCUUUCUGUAUUAUUGGUUGAACUAAGCCUAUAUUAAAUUGUAGAUUUUUUGUGGAGCACUUCCUGGAAAAACUACUUGGUCAGCUGCCAAGUAAUUCCAAGCCCAUUUGGUAUUCAUAUUGUUUUUGGGUUUUGUUUUCAAGCAGUGAAAUGUUAUUUUGAAAAAACAAGUUGAUGAAACAAGUA